This 625-nucleotide ribosomal RNA is filed under the name uncultured bacterium. RNAcentral's name for it is "bacterial SSU rRNA". It matches the Rfam family "Bacterial small subunit ribosomal RNA", at positions 338 to 957 of the family's 1533-position model. The record is from RNAcentral.
CCUACGGGAGGCAGCAGUGGGGAAUUUUGGACAAUGGGCGAAAGCCUGAUCCAGCCAUGCCGCGUGCAGGAUGAAGGCCUUCGGGUUGUAAACUGCUUUUGUACGGAACGAAACGGCCUUUUCUAAUAAAGAGGGCUAAUGACGGUACCGUAAGAAUAAGCACCGGCUAACUACGUGCCAGCAGCCGCGGUAAUACGUAGGGUGCAAGCGUUAAUCGGAAUUACUGGGCGUAAAGCGUGCGCAGGCGGUUAUGUAAGACAGUUGUGAAAUCCCCGGGCUCAACCUGGGAACUGCAUCUGUGACUGCAUAGCUAGAGUACGGUAGAGGGGGAUGGAAUUCCGCGUGUAGCAGUGAAAUGCGUAGAUAUGCGGAGGAACACCGAUGGCGAAGGCAAUCCCCUGGACCUGUACUGACGCUCAUGCACGAAAGCGUGGGGAGCAAACAGGAUUAGAUACCCUGGUAGUCCACGCCCUAAACGAUGUCAACUGGUUGUUGGGUCUUCACUGACUCAGUAACGAAGCUAACGCGUGAAGUUGACCGCCUGGGGAGUACGGCCGCAAGGUUGAAACCGUCAAAGUAGUAGUGGACGNGNGAGAGCGACGACGACGACGACGGAGGGAGGAGG